RNAcentral lists this ribosomal RNA (543 nucleotides) under Triticum aestivum (bread wheat). RNAcentral describes it as "partial small subunit ribosomal RNA". Lineage: Eukaryota; Viridiplantae; Streptophyta; Magnoliopsida; Poales; Poaceae. The record is from RNAcentral.
AUGGCCCAUUCCUGCCACGCCUACGAUCUUGUGCUACGACGGUAUCUCUUGGCCCUGCACCACCUCCUCGACUACGUCCGCUUCGUCGCGGCGGUCGUCCUGGACCGCCUCGGCAUCGUCUCGUUCGACGGCGAGAUGCUGCCCGGUGAGCCUUGGAGCGAGCUCGUCGACACUGCGCCGAUGGAGCGCCUCAUGGAGGCAGCGUUCUGGCAGCCCAGCUCACCGCCGAAGGUGAAUCGUUCGUCUUCGUGGACGGCGCCACAGUACAGACGACCGCGGGUUGCGCCGGCGGAUGUCGAGGGAGCCGAGGACGACGACGGGUGCGUGGGCAUCUGCGCGAUUUGCUUGGCGGCGCUCGACGUGGGAGGGCAACUGGUCACGGAGUUGUGCAACUGCUCGCAUGCGUUCCACGCCGCCUGCAUCGAUUCUUGGAUCGGCAGCGGCGAGGCCGGCACUUGCCCGAUGUGCCGCACCCCGACGGUACCAACGGCGUGGUGGAACGGUUGGCGAGAAGUAGUGCCACGCACGUCUUUAUCUCCUUGA